This 107-nucleotide small nuclear RNA is filed under the name Physeter macrocephalus (sperm whale). Lineage: Eukaryota; Metazoa; Chordata; Mammalia; Artiodactyla; Physeteridae. The record is from RNAcentral.
GUGUUUGCUUCAGCAGCACAUAUACUAAAAUUGGAAUGGUACAGAGAAGAUUAGCAUGGCCCCUGUGCAAGUAUGACAUGCAAAUUCGUGAAGCAUUCCAUAUUUUU